UUGUUUGCAGGUGCAGCAGCAUCAAGAUUCACAUACAAAUUCUUUAAUUGGUGUAAUUAAUCACACCGAGUGGAGUUUUUUUGUUAUUGAGAAUCUUGAUGAUGCUGCAUCAGCAAUAAA
This is a microRNA precursor of Medicago truncatula (barrel medic), 120 nucleotides long. It matches the Rfam family "mir-172 microRNA precursor family". From Rfam's summary of the family: mir-172 has been experimentally verified in Arabidopsis thaliana. This family is thought to target mRNAs coding for APETALA2-like transcription factors. The mature sequence is excised from the 3' arm of the hairpin. NCBI's taxonomy places the organism in Eukaryota, Viridiplantae, Streptophyta, Magnoliopsida, Fabales, Fabaceae. The record is from Rfam.